AGAGUUUGAUCCUGGCUCAGGAUGAAUGCUGGCGGCGUGUCUAAGGCAUGCAAGUCGAAUGCUAGUUUACUAGCAUGGCAAACGGGAGAGUAACACAUUAAUAAUGUACCCUGGAGUUGAGAAUAACCCGGUGAAAACUGGAAUAAUACUCAAUAAUAGUGGGGGGACAAAAGUCAUUCCCACUUAAAGAUUUAUCGCUCCGGGAGCAGUUUAUGGCCUAUCAGCUUGUUGGUGAGGUAAAAGCUCACCAAGGCAACGACGGGUAGCGGGUGUGAGAGCAUGGCCCGUCUCACUGGGACUGAGACACUGCCCAGACUCCUACGGGAGGCUGCAGUCAAGAAUAUUCCUCAAUGGCCGAAAGGCUGAAGGAGCGACGCCGCGUGUAUGAAGACGCUCUUCGGAGUGUAAAGUACUUUUAUCAGGGACGAAUCUAUGACGGUACCUGACGAAUAAGGGGCUGCUAACCUCGUGCCAGCAGCAGCGGUAAUACGAGGGCCCCGAGCAUUAUCCGGAUUUAUUGGGCGUAAAGGGUCCGUAGGCGGUCUAAUACAUCUUUCGUUAAAUCUCCCAGCUCAACUGGGAGUCAGCGGGAGAUAUGGUUAGACUAGAGGCUGGAAGAGGCAAGUGGAAUUGUUGGUGUAGGGGUUAAAUCCGUUAAUAUCAACAAGAACACCAAAUGCGAAGGCAGCUUGCUAGAACAGUUCUGACGCUGAGGGACGAAAGCGUGGGGAGCGAAUAGGAUUAGAUACCCUAGUAGUCCACGCUGUAAACGAUGAAUGCUAAGUAUUGGGAGUUUCGACCCUUCCAGUGCUGUUAUCUUAAGUUAACACGUUAAGCAUUCCGCCUGGGGAGUACGAGCGCAAGCUUAAAACUCAAAGGAAUAGACGGGGAUCCGCACAAGCGGUGGAGCAUGUGGUUUAAUUCGACAGUAAGCGAGGAACCUCACCAAGGCUUGACAUAUAGCUGCAAGCUCUAGAAAUAGAGUCGCCUUCGAGGGUGCUAUACAGAUGCUGCAUGGUUGUCGUCAGCUCGUGUCGUGAGAUGUACCGUUAAGUCGGAAAACGAGCGCAACCCCUAUCCUAUGUUUUAUAUGUCAUAGGAAACUGCCUGCUUUAAGUAGGAGGAAGGCGGGGAUGACGUCAAAUCAGCAUGGUUCUUAUGCCUUGGGCCACACACGUGCUACAAUGGGAAGUACAAAGGGACGCUAAGUCGCAAGAUGGAGCAAACCCCCUAAAACUUCUCUCAGUUCGGAUUGAGGUCUGAAAUUCGACCUCAUGAAGCUGGAAUCGCUAGUAAUCGUGAAUCAGCUAUGUCACGGUGAAUACGUUCUCGGAUCUUGUACUCACCGCCCGUCACGUCAAGGGAGUCGACAGUACCCGAACCUCGCAC
This 1389-nucleotide ribosomal RNA is filed under the name metagenome. RNAcentral describes it as "bacterial SSU rRNA". It matches the Rfam family "Bacterial small subunit ribosomal RNA". The record is from RNAcentral.